This 2221-nucleotide long non-coding RNA is filed under the name Heterocephalus glaber (naked mole-rat). RNAcentral's name for it is "lncRNA (ENSHGLG00100047643.1)". The record is from RNAcentral. Lineage: Eukaryota; Metazoa; Chordata; Mammalia; Rodentia; Bathyergidae.
CUGGAUGUAUUCUUGACUUAAUCCCAUGCCCAUCUCUCAGUGGAGAAAGCAAGGAUCUUCAUAGUGAGGGGCUGGGUACCCUGGUUCCUCAGCUCUUGACCAGCUCAGAAGAUGAUUAGCAAGCUGAGAAAUUUGAACCAGAUGAAUUCUAGCCCAGGAAUGCAGGUGGAGGGCAUCUGAAGUGUUGUGAAAGCAGUGGCAUGGAGAUGUCUUCUUGCACCAGCGACUGGCUUUUUUACAGACACAGAGAUGGUGUAACCCUCAUAUGGGGGACCCAAGAGGAUGUUGUAUAUUGCCAAAAACCAGCUACACUGCAUACUCUUAGAGAAGAAAUUGAAAAUGUAUGGACAGCGAUCUCAAUAAGCAAGCUCACGACUGACUGCACUAAAGUUGAAAUGUGUCACUAAGAGUUACUUCUCCUAUUGAAGAUCCUUCCCGUUGGAUGGCACUGGGCAGCAGCAAUCACCCUGUUUUGAUCACACCUGAACGAAACAGUACAUGACUGCGGCUUGCUUCUAAUGGGAUCUUGAUACAAAUUUGUUGAAGGAAUGAAUGAAAAAAAAUGGCAAAUGUGAAGACAAGAAUCCCCAAGAGGUUCUACAGAUGACAUAAUGAUGAUAAGGAUAAUGGUGGUGAGUAUCAUUUUAUCCAGGGUUAUUCUGAGAAAAGAACUUUGAAAAGUGCUAAAUAACUAUAUUUUAGCUUUCCAGCAGUCCUAUUAAGAGGUGAUUAUUACUAUUCCCAUUCUACAGAUCCAGAAACAACCUCAGAGAAUUAACAUAAUUUGUGAGUGAUCAACAAAUAGGAAUAUUUAAAUGAAAAAAAAUUUGUGACAGUAAAAGGCACAUUGCCAUUAAUACUCCUAAAAAUAUUCCCCUUCACUUCGAACACACUUAUCCAUUAUUCUUGCUACUUUCUGAAGCAAUUCCUGAGUGUCUUUUUAUGGCUCCCUCCAUGUUCUGAGUUGAUUCAAAAUAUUUACAGCAAUUUCUGACAAAUAGACGCUAGUGUCUCCUUAUCCACCAGAUCUGGCACUGUGCAACUUCUGGCUCUUUCCUAAAGUCAAAAUGACCCUGAAAGGUAACUGUUUAGAAUUGAUUUAGGACAUGAAGAUAGCCACAACACCACAGAUAAAGACACAAAACAAGACUUUUAGAACUGCUUCAAAAAAUGGCAAGAAUGAAGGGAUACAUGCAAAUUGAGAGAGUAUUUUGAGGGAGAUUAAUGGCAAUGUGACUUUUAUUGUAAUGGUUUUGAAAAAUGAAACAUUCUCCAUAUAUUGUGUUCAUACCUCUGUCCAAAAUCACAGAAAUAGUAAGUAGCAGUUCUAAGACUUCAUCCCAGGUGCAUCUGAUACUGCAAUCAAAAACACUAUCUCAUAGAAAUGGAUUUCCUUUUAGUCCUCUGUGAUUGCUCUUCAAUUUAAAGUUGUACCACAUUCUCCUCAGAUAAAGCAUUAGUCUUUAAGGAGCUGGUGCAGAGGAGGGAAAGCCCAGGACCACCGGGUGUACUUGUGCAAAGUGUGCUUGCAGUACUUCAGAAGCUAUCAGUCGCCAAAACCUUUAUGUGAAUUGUGUCUCCUGGAGGUAUGCAAUGCACAAUAUUCACAAAUUCUUAUGAAUCUGAAAUCUGAGGCUUAUUUGAAGCAAGCAGUUCUUUUACUUUUCAAUCUAAAUGUUGACUGUUUAGGGGAACUGUACAUUUUUCCUGUCUAACUCAGAGAUUAUUUUAGGUAAAAAAACCUAUCCCAAGCGAGCUUUAUCACACUAUCUUAACAGUGGAAAAGUAUUCUUGGUGUAUACUAAGGAUCUUAUUUACUAAAGUAAUUGUUAACAAAGACCAUCCACAAAAAUAUUUCAAGUGGCAAAGAAUCAUGCAAUUAUAAUUCUGAAUAAAUAUUAAAAAUGUUUUUAUUGCCCAGAAAAUUAAAUCAUGUUAUUGAACAGUAUCUCUGACUUUUCUCAGUGUUAUUCAAUAAAGAUUUUCCUAAAGGUGAUUUUGAUUCAUUGUAGGGUAGGCACCAAAAAAUAAAUAACCUGGCAGAUGCAAUGCCAGAUGACAAAUAUGAAAGCACGUUCACUUAAUCUCUGCCUCAUUGUUUCACUAAUCUAUCUUUUUAAAUUUCCAAAGUUCUUCUCAAAGUCUUAGUUUAAGUUAACACUCUAAGCUUUUGAUAUUCAUUCUUUCAUUUAGGAAAUAUUUCCCAAAUCUUAAAAAGAGC